RNAcentral lists this ribosomal RNA (460 nucleotides) under uncultured bacterium. RNAcentral describes it as "partial 16S ribosomal RNA". It matches the Rfam family "Bacterial small subunit ribosomal RNA", at positions 338 to 795 of the family's 1533-position model. The record is from RNAcentral.
CCUACGGGUGGCAGCAGUAGGGAAUAUUGCUCAAUGGGGGAAACCCUGAACCAGCCAUGCCGCGUGCAGGAAGACUGCUCUAUGAGUUGUAAACUGCUUUUGUACGGGGGUAAAGCCCGAUACGUGUAUCGGGUUGAAAGUAUCGUACGAAUAAGGAUCGGCUAACUCCGUGCCAGCAGCCGCGGUAAUACGGAGGAUUCAAGCGUUAUCCGGAUUUAUUGGGUUUAAAGGGUGCGUAGGCGGUUCGAUAAGUUAGAGGUGAAAUCCCGGGGCUCAACUCCGGCACUGCAUCUGAUACUGUCGGGCUAGAGGUUAGUUGAGGUAGGCGGAAUGUGUGGUGUAGCGGUGAAAUGCAUAGAGAUCAUACAGAACGCCGAUUGCGAAGGCAGCUUACCGGACUACGACUGACGUUGAGGCACGAAAGCGUGGGUAGCAAACAGGAUUAGAUACCCGGGUAGUC